GACGUAGGGGGCCAGCGUUGCUCGGAAUUACUGGGCGUAAAGGGUUCGUAGGCGGUGCGGCAAGUUCGGAGUGAAAUCUCCCGGCUCAACCGGGAGGCUGCUUUGAAAACUGCUGUGCUCGAGUCCGGGAGAGGCGCGUGGAAUUGCAGGUGUAGCGGUGAAAUGCGUAGAUAUCUGCAGGAACACCAGAGGCGAAAGCGGCGCGCUGGACCGGUACUGACGCUGAGGAACGAAAGCUAGGGGAGCAAACAGG
RNAcentral lists this ribosomal RNA (253 nucleotides) under uncultured bacterium. Its description in RNAcentral is "partial 16S ribosomal RNA". It matches the Rfam family "Bacterial small subunit ribosomal RNA", at positions 524 to 776 of the family's 1533-position model. The record is from RNAcentral.